UUAAGUAGAGGCGCAAUGUUUAUCAGUAUGAAUCGUGAUGCAGCGGCUGCAGAUGACCGGUUCUGAAAGGGAACACUGCCGAAGCCCUGUACCGUAAGCUGCAGGUACACCGCUGGGAAUGCAGAGAAUAUCUGCAUUACUGUCAUCAUUUGAUGGAGUGCUGCUUGG
This 168-nucleotide non-coding RNA is filed under the name bovine gut metagenome. RNAcentral describes it as "Lysine riboswitch". It matches the Rfam family "Lysine riboswitch aptamer". Rfam says of the family: Riboswitches are metabolite binding domains within certain messenger RNAs that serve as precision sensors for their corresponding targets. Allosteric rearrangement of mRNA structure is mediated by ligand binding, and this results in modulation of gene expression. The record is from RNAcentral.